Long non-coding RNA from Wyeomyia smithii (pitcher-plant mosquito), 449 nucleotides. RefSeq lists it as uncharacterized. The transcript has 3 exons. The record is from RefSeq and is a predicted model, not a curated record. Lineage: Eukaryota; Metazoa; Arthropoda; Insecta; Diptera; Culicidae.
AAUGUUUUAAAAUGGUCCUACGGUACAGAUAAGGCUUCUGGCGCUGCCACAGAUAUAUUCAAGCGAAACCGUCCAUUGCACUGAGUGACACAAAUUUGGGGCUCACCAUGUUCACAAUGAAAUUACAAAAGUUCAUGAGUCACGUCAUUAUGAGCGUUUGGUGGAAUUCAGCUAUAUAAUGGCGAAAACAUAUUUAAGAUGACGAGAAAAUGGUGGCUUGCCAUAGCCUGAGUGAAACGAUUGAAUCUGUCAUCAUAGAGAUUGAGUAAGUGAACUAUCCACUACAGAAAUGUGCCAACCUGAGCCGUGAAAAUCACCGGUAGAACGUACACCCAGUGUUUUAUUCACACAUCUAGAAAAAAGAGCCUCUGUACGCAAACACCCAAUUUAGAAAAGGCCCUCAACAUCGACCGACAACAAAAGUGGCACUCAGCUGUUACUGAUCCGUA